UACGUAGGGUGCGAGCGUUGUCCGGAAUUACUGGGCGUAAGGAGCUCGUAGGUGGUUUGUCGCGUUGUUCGUGAAAACUCACAGCUCAACUGUGGGCGUGCGGGCGAUACGGGCAGACUAGAGUACUGCAGGGGAGACUGGAAUUCCUGGUGUAGCGGUGGAAUGCGCAGAUAUCAGGAGGAACACCGGUGGCGAAGGCGGGUCUCUGGGCAGUAACUGACGCUGAGGAGCGAAAGCGUGGGGAGCGAACAGG
RNAcentral lists this ribosomal RNA (253 nucleotides) under uncultured bacterium. RNAcentral's name for it is "partial 16S ribosomal RNA". It matches the Rfam family "Bacterial small subunit ribosomal RNA", at positions 524 to 776 of the family's 1533-position model. The record is from RNAcentral.